GGAUGAAACACCUUUUGAAAAGCAGAGUUGAAAAAGAUUAUUAUUUUCUUGUCUUUACCUCCAAAGUAAUGGUCUCUUCCAUCCAUUUGGACUUAAAUACAUCUGCAACCUCUUAUUAUGGAAAUUCAGGAAAAAGGAACAUAUGAGAUAGUAAAAAAACUUGACAAGGUUAAGAAAGCAGAAGGCAAAAAAUAACUAUGGAAAAAAAAUGCAAACUGAUAUAAAGAUUUCAUGCCAACUUAAGUAUUUGGAUGACUCAGUAUUAGUUGAACAUCAAACUGCAAUUUGCUCGUCACUCAUAGUCUUAGUUCCCUAUAUUACUACUACAAAACAACAGACAAUCAUGCAGCAACAAACAUGCACAACCUAUUUACAAUGCAUACCACCAAUCUAGCUGUAUAGUGUUUUUUUCCCCACUUAGUGCCACUGAUUUCUAAAACAUCCACUUAUUACUUGAACUGGAUGCUUAAACUGCUGCAUUUUCACGUAUGUCUGACCAGAGGUAUAUUUAGCUAUCAUCAAAGGUGGCCAUUACUCAGGCUGUCAGGCUAGUAAAGUCAACAAAAUGUGGAGGAAAACAGAUCUGAAGCAUCAUCCUCCCUAAGGAGAGCAUGGUGCUGACAGUAGUGAAACUAGCUGGCAGUUUAUGGGGCACAUCCUUGUGUAGUUGCUUUCCUCUAAUCCUUCCACAGCCCAUGGAGAAAGAUGCUGUGAGUAGGCAGUGAGUUACCCGAUGGUCACAAGGACAGAGUGAAGCACCUCUUAUGUCCUAUUUUAAUCAAUGUCCCUACAUGGCUCAAAGGCAUGGUGUACAAACAUCUGACAAUUGCAGAGGCUGGGAUACAGGCAAGCACAGCUGGCUUGUUGCUGGGGCAAUGAGUUCACUUAAAAGAGACCAUCAUGCCAACGGGUAGGGGAAAGAAAACAGAGAACAGCAGCUGUUCUGCUUCAGCAAAAUUUUACUAAUCAUUAGAUGAAGGCAAAAUAUAACAUUUUAUCUUUGUUCUCAAGGGGGCAAAAUUCAAUUUUUCCCACACUGCUGAGUAGCACUAAGAUGUGGCACACCUAAACUAAUGAACUCAAGAAAAGUUUUGCAAUUUUAGAACACACAUUAUCUAAACUUGGCUAAUAUCCUAUUCAGUGAUACUUUGUACCACUGCAUAAUUACAAAUCUAUAAAAUCUCCAUUAAAUCCACACCAGUAAACAUUUCUUUGAACUGAGUGAAAUAAAACAUUUUGAUGUAUGCUAUUCUCAGCAUUUAUCAUAGAUAUAGAAAUAUAUUCAGUAGACUAGAUUACAAAAAAGUCAUAAUUCCACAAGAACCAAAGUAACAGGGUGCUUAAUUGUCUCAGACCAAUAAAGUAAAAAUGAUGGCAGAAUCAAUUAAAAAUAUAUUAAAUAAAUGUAUUUGAGGUGACAGCACCCUACCUUCAUUUUAGUGUAUAUUUCCUUGGCUUUUAUAAGCUUGCUAGGUCCACAUCAGAAACUGUGGACUAUAAAGGGAUAAACUACAGCCACUGCCUUGUGGAUUCCAGUAUAGGCUAGCAGAAAAAAUAGCAACCCCUCUCCCCCAUAAAACAUACCAUAUCCUUUUGGAGGGGAUUAAAAUUUUUCUUCAGAAUUACUUUCUACUUUCUUCUACCCACAAAAAUUUUGAUGUAAAAAAAUUCUCUAAAUGAGAAGCACCAAAAUGGCUGUUUCCUAAAGCAAUGAAUAUUUAAAAUGUUCCUGGGAAGUAUUGAUAAAUGACAGGGAUCAUUCGUGAGUGUCACAUAUUGCUUAGUCUCUUCUGCUUUAGAGAUCUUGGAACCUGAUGUUUUAAUCAGGCCAUGUCUCAUAAGGCCAAAAAAAGGCCUUAUGAGACACAUAAUGAUCCACCCAGACCUGCUACUAGCUGUAAAUUAGGAAGAACAAAGAGGAGUGGAGGACUUAGGAAACCUGCCUGAGAUUUUUUGUGAUUGGGCACAGAAACCCUUUGGGUUUGUACUUUUCUUGAACAGAUGCAGACAGAUGUUUUAAUUUCCCACAGGACAUCAAGUCCACGGACCUAUCUUCUUUGUAUCACAGUCACAAGCCACAAAAUUUCAAAAUUCUGGCAUAUCUUUCUCUGAUAUAUUUCUCUCUCCAUUAAAAUUCUGAAGACAUACAAGAUGGAACAUGAGGAGUUUGUGCAAAGGGAAUACAUGGAAUCAAAAGGCUCCUCACAUACCUCUUCAUGUUAUCUACAACAGAUGGCAACUUACAGCUUCCAAACUUCCACUUAUAUUAAAAUUGAGUAAUUAUUUUUUUCCAAGCCAAAUAAUAUGAUAUUUCAAAAUCAGAGCAAGAAUCAGAUGUGAGAAUAUUAUGUGUAAAUGUGUAAACAUACAUAGUUGUUUACAGAAAUACACACACACUGAAUCAAUAAAGGACCUGUAACUUUUAUCCAGUAACAAUAUUAUCUGCAAAAUCAUUAACACUGAAUACUCGACCUUCACAGGAAAUAUUCACGAAUAACUUUAUUAUUUUAUUAUUAUUAUUUAUUAUUUUUAUUAAAUACAUGUAGGGAAAAUAAUCGAUUAAACAAAUGAUAUAUUUCAGAAGCAGGAAAAGAGGCCACAUUUGAGAGAGACACAAGUAUUCCUGAACUAUUCAUGCAGACAUCAUUACACUUUAAAACAGAAAAUAUAAACAUUGAAACAAAAACAAAACCAUGAAUGAGCCCCAAAAGGAAUCAAACUCCUCCAUCUUGUUUAAGACCUUAGAUUUAAGCUAAAGGGAGUCAACACAAGACUUUCCAGCUUUCUUGAGAAGAAGCAUGACUAUCUCCAAGCACAUGACAGUCUGUUCCCUCCCUUUUCCCCUUCUCUCACCAAAAAAAAAAAAAAAAAGAAAAAAAAUUCUACCCCAAAAGUCCAAAUACAUUCUAGUAAUAAAUCUUUUUAAAAGAUAAGAUUAUGUCUGAAAUCAGUGUAUGUUAUGCUGUAGUGGUUUUCAGCAACCUCUGUAAAAAGUUUUGGCUGCUGUAGUGGCAUGACAGCUACAGGCUGAGCUACCAGCUACAACUUCCCAGUUCAUGAAUGGAUACACUGGGAGUUGAUCUCAGAAGACGGAUGCCUGCAGGGUAAUGUGUGUCCAAAUAUUGCUGCACCACUGCUGACUAUUUUAUAGAGCAACAACAGUAUCACUUUCAGAACAAGAAAGCCAUUUUGCUUUUCCAGCUAAACAUUAAGGAAUGCAAUUGCAAGACAGAAAGGUGCAGACACUGUAUAUAGUAGAUGGCAAUCCAAACAUUAUGGUAGAUAAUGAAGAAUAUGAUCCCCUUGCCCUUUACUGUAUGCAUAUUAAACCACUCUAUUGCAGGAUAUCUCCAGCUUUUUACUGGUAGAAGGAAGGAACUCCUUUUUUUUUGAGUGUAAAAAUAUUUUUCCUUCUUUUUCUAAAAUGGGAUUUUUUAAUUAAAUUUUUUAAUUAAAAAAUAAAAUUUUUUAAUUAAAUUAAGAUACUUGAAAUUUACAAAAUUACCCUCAAAUAUCAAUAAGAAGUAGUAGCAUUAGUUUUGGAUUAAAACCUUCAUGAGAACAUAUAUAAUUCAUGCUAUAGCUGAAAAAGUGAUGCUGCUAUAAAAUAUAUAUAUUCUACAUAUAUAAUUCAGUUUUCCAAGUGUAAAUACUGCAACGAGAUGUUUUAUCACUGAUUGCUGCUCUAAUAAUGUACCAAAUGCCAGCUUGGAAAUUAAACAUUCACAAGAAUACAAUUAAAAUGAAACCCCGAUUCCCAAUUUAAAAAAAUAAUGAAAAUGUGUGAUAAAUAAAUGGAGUAUUCCUGCUGCCUUUGUCCAGUUCUUUUUUCCCAUAUGGUAUCUUAUUUGUCAUAUGGAAGCUGCAAAAAUACCUUUUUAGAGAAUAAAUUAGAAAAACGAAGCAUAAACAAUAAAGCCUGCUCAGCAGUCAUGUUCUCCAGUGCUCUGUAGGGUUGCUUCAGAAUUUUCCAUGCUGUGAGUGUUAAUGAGACCCUCCAUAGGCACCACUAAUACAUAAAAGCAAUCACCUAUAACUCACCUUUUCAAAUCUGUACUUUCUGUAACUGGAAGCAAAAUAGGAAGCAUCAUGCAAAUACCAUCCUCAUUUACUGACAUGUAACUAUUAGCCAAAAAGGGGUUGACAACAGAAAAGUUACCACAAUACAUAAAUGCUUCAAUGAUCAAGCACAGAAUCGAGAAGCACUUGGAGAACACGUGCAGUUUUGAAGACUACAAAACUGUCCCUAAACAUAUGGUUUUCCUGAUGGAAGGAAACAUACUUAGAGAAAUUA
Molecule: long non-coding RNA, 4294 nt
Filed under: Strigops habroptila (Kakapo)
Lineage: Eukaryota; Metazoa; Chordata; Aves; Psittaciformes; Psittacidae
Description: lncRNA (ENSSHBG00005017923.1)
Source: RNAcentral